RNAcentral lists this ribosomal RNA (253 nucleotides) under uncultured bacterium. Its description in RNAcentral is "partial 16S ribosomal RNA". It matches the Rfam family "Bacterial small subunit ribosomal RNA", at positions 524 to 776 of the family's 1533-position model. The record is from RNAcentral.
UACGUAGGGUGCAAGCGUUGUCCGGAAUUAUUGGGCGUAAAGAGCUCGUAGGCGGUCUGUCGCGUCGGCUGUGAAAUCCCGGAGCUCAACUCCGGGCCUGCAGUCGAUACGGGCAGACUGGAGUUCGGCAGGGGAGACUGGAAUUCCUGGUGUAGCGGUGAAAUGCGCAGAUAUCAGGAGGAACACCGGUGGCGAAGGCGGGACUCUGGGCCGAUACUGACGCUGAGGAGCGAAAGCGUGGGGAGCAAACAGG